AGAGUAAAAUAGUACGUGAAAUUGUUGAAAGGGAAACGAUUGAAGUCAGUCGUACCGACGGAAAAUCAACUCUUCGAGUGUGGACUUUGUGGACGUGCGUGAGUUUUACGACCUCGCUGUUUGUAACGUUUGUGCUUUUUGGGUGUACUUUUUCGUAUGGUAGGCCAACAUCAGUUUUGAUUGCUAUAAAAUGACCGGAGGAAUGUAGCUUCGAUCUCGUAUUGAAGUGUUAUAGCCUUUGGUAGAUGUGGUGAUCGAGACUGAGGAUUGCAACGAAUAUCCUUUGGGCUAUCCGUCUGAUCUCUGAAAGUCGCUUAGGUGCCGAAAGCUUGCUUACGGUCAUUUAAGUUUGACGGUCAAAAGGUUAGAACGUGAUUACAUUCGUUAAGGAUGCUGACGAAAUGGUCCCAAACGACC
RNAcentral lists this ribosomal RNA (417 nucleotides) under Dominikia disticha. Its description in RNAcentral is "partial large subunit ribosomal RNA". The record is from RNAcentral. Lineage: Eukaryota; Fungi; Glomeromycota; Glomeromycetes; Glomerales; Glomeraceae.